This 194-nucleotide ribosomal RNA is filed under the name uncultured bacterium. RNAcentral's name for it is "partial 16S ribosomal RNA". It matches the Rfam family "Bacterial small subunit ribosomal RNA", at positions 1309 to 1500 of the family's 1533-position model. The record is from RNAcentral.
AACCCGACUACAUGAAGCUGGAAUCGCUAGUAAUCGCGGAUCAGAAUGCCGCGGUGAAUACGUUCCCGGGUCUUGUACACACCGCCCGUCACACCAUGGGAGUCAGUAACGCCCGAAGCCGGUGACCCAACCUAUUCUGGAGGGAGCCGUCGAAGGCGGGACGGAUGACUGGGGUGAAGUCGUAACAAGGUACC